CGAACGGGUGAGUAACACGUGACCAACCUGCUUUAGGCGAGGGACAACCUGGGGAAACCCGGACUAAUACCGCAUGACGCUUUUUUUCGCAGGAAAGAAAGACCAAAGGGGGCCUCUUCUUGAAAGCUCCCGCCUAAUGAGGGGGUCGCGGCGUAUCAGCUUGUUGGUGAGGUAACGGCUCACCAAGGCUACGACGCGUAGCGGGUCUGAGAGGACGAUCCGUCACAUUGGGACUGAGAUACGGCCCAG
RNAcentral lists this ribosomal RNA (249 nucleotides) under uncultured bacterium. RNAcentral's name for it is "partial 16S ribosomal RNA". It matches the Rfam family "Bacterial small subunit ribosomal RNA", at positions 99 to 334 of the family's 1533-position model. The record is from RNAcentral.